RNAcentral lists this transfer RNA (87 nucleotides) under Chromobacterium violaceum. RNAcentral's name for it is "tRNA-Ser(cag)". It matches the Rfam family "tRNA". From Rfam's summary of the family: Transfer RNA (tRNA) molecules are approximately 80 nucleotides in length. Their secondary structure includes four short double-helical elements and three loops (D, anti-codon, and T loops). The record is from RNAcentral. RNAcentral also lists the same sequence under 77 other names. Lineage: Bacteria; Pseudomonadati; Pseudomonadota; Betaproteobacteria; Neisseriales; Chromobacteriaceae.
GCCCAGGUGGCGGAAUUGGUAGACGCACUAGGUUCAGGUCCUAGCGCCCGCAAGGGUGUGGAAGUUCGAGUCUUCUCUUGGGCACCA